RNAcentral lists this long non-coding RNA (819 nucleotides) under Homo sapiens (human). RNAcentral describes it as "HSALNT0333952". The record is from RNAcentral. Lineage: Eukaryota; Metazoa; Chordata; Mammalia; Primates; Hominidae.
GCAGGGAGGUCAGGCGCAGACCGCGCGCAAUCAAUGGAUCAAUGCAAGCUCCGCUCGGCUCCAGACCAAACAGCACCGGGCUCCGACUCGUCCUCGCUCCCCUAGGAAAGAGUCGGGGAGCGAGGGUGCGUCCCCGCGCUCGCUCGCGAGGACGGCCGUGCGGCGCCAGGUUUGAACGCACACCUCCACCCGAGACAAAGAGGGUGCGAGGUGUUGGGGAGGCUGGGGCAGACGUGGACACACGGACACACGGGCACUCGGGCGUGUCCACCGACACAGCCUGACAGGGGACAUAGGACCUCGGAACACACCGCCUCCGACACCAGGCCGAGUAACAACCUCUCAACUUUUACACCUACCACACCCCCAACCUCAAGACUCAGUCCCCAUUCCUAGAUGCGAGUCCACUUUGAGGACCAAAAAGAAAGUAGCCUCCGCCUGCUAAAACUGCCAGCUCCAGGGCAGACUCCCUUGCAGUUAAGGCCUUGGAGGGAAAGAGGAAAGACCUCUUGAAAGGCUAUGAAGACUUUCUUGGAGUGUGAGGCUGUGUUCAGAAUGAGACCAGGCCAGGUCCAGUUUUCUACAGGGAAGAUGCUGCUAGGACCCAGACUAGCCUCACAGAGCCCUCAGCGUACCCAGGAGGAAGAGGCAAUGACCAAGAUCUCCUCAAAGAACGUAAGCUCCAUCAGAGCAGGGACCAUGUCUGGCUUGUUCACUAUCGUGUCCUCAUCAUCUCCUGUACUGCCUGCCACAUGAACAAUGGCCAUUAACAGGCAUGGAACUGGAGCAGAAAUGGAAUGAACCCUAGGGGCCUGGGAG